This 1671-nucleotide long non-coding RNA is filed under the name Marmota monax (woodchuck). Lineage: Eukaryota; Metazoa; Chordata; Mammalia; Rodentia; Sciuridae. The record is from RNAcentral.
AAUUACAACUUUUGAUUAUUUUGUUCUUUUAGUUUUGACCAUGCUGACCAAUGAAACUGGUUUUGAAAUCAGUUCUUCUGAUGCUACAGUGAAGAUUCUCAUUACGACAGUGCCACCCAAUCUCCGAAAACUGGACCCGGAACUCCACUGUUAGUCCUUUUUUCCAUUGCUGAAAAGUGUGGGGGAAAUAAAAUGCAUGGUAUCUUUGCUGAGUUUUUUUAUUUCAUAGGAAGCUUUCUGGAAAUUGAAGGACUUAAGUUUACCCUGUACUUUGGAAAUAACUUUACAAGCUUCCUAGUGAAAUUUUCAAAGAUAGGAUAGCCAGGAAGAAAAUUUGGAACAAUUAAAAAGGAUGGUGGAAAUAUUUGUGAAGAAAGGAGGAUAGAUUUUUGGAGAAUAUCAGAUCUUGCAUGCUUCUAGAUUUAGUUUGGAAUAGGUGUAAUAAUUUUGGAAUAAGUGACUUGCUGAUCUGAGGAACAUGAGAUGGUUUAACAAAAUUGUUAAAAAUUAGCUUGCUUCUCCUUCUAAGUUUCUGAACCAUGGUGGUGGCAGGACUGGAUUGCUUGCUUAAUACCAGGAUUGUUUCACGUUGGUCUGUCAUGCUUUAUCUAGUGGAUAUCAAGGUGUUGCAGAGUGCUUUAGCAGCCAUCCGACAUGCCCGCUGGUUCGAGGAAAAUGCUUCUCAGUCCACGUGAGUCGGUCUCUGGUCAUUUUCAGAUAACCUUUCUAACUGAAUAGCAGGAUUUCCCCAUACUUCCUCUGAUAGAACUGUUUUGGCCAUGAUCUGUUGGAUUUUCAUUUUUACUUUAAGCAAAUUAAGAUUGAAAGAAGAGCACAUGCGGUUUUAUAAAUAGUAUAGUCAGCUUCAACUCUACCUCAGGUGUGGAAAUGUGAUCUUAUUACCUUUUUUUGUGGGGUGGGCUACCAGGGAUUGAAUUCAGGGGCAUUUGAUACUAAGCCACAUCCCCAGCCCUAUUUUAUAUUUUAUUUAGAGACAGGGUCUCACAGAGUUGCUUAGUACCUCGCUUUUUCUGAGGCUGGCUUUGAACUCUAGAUCCUCCUGUCUCAGCCUCCAGAGUUAAUGGGAUUACAGGCGUGCACCAUUUUGCCCAGCAGUGAUGUUAACUACUUUUAAUCCUUGGAUCUCUUUUACAUUCAGAGUUAAAGUUCUCAUCAGACUGCUCAAGGACUUAAGGAUUCGUUUUCCUGGCUUUGAGCCCCUCACACCCUGGAUCCUUGACCUACUUGUAAGUAAACAAGGACAAUAGGAAUUCCUACGCAUUCAUAUUGGUAGUACUUACUGUGAAACCUACCAGAAUCUGAAAUUCAGUAAAGCUUAAAAAGAAAUUCAGUGGACAGGCGAUCUAGUAGAUUCAAAGUUUAUUAUUUCAUUGGGUUCUGGGAGUAUUUGAUUAAAUGAGUAGUUACUGAGUUACAGUGCCCCUUUUGUUUUUAUUACUGUUAUUUCAUUAUUGUGAUACUGGAAAGAAAUGAACAAAUGAGGACCAAUUUCAGAAUUUCUUCUGGAUGUGUUUUGGCUAGACUUUAAUGACUUAUUUUCCUUGUGAUGAUUUAUUCAAGUUUAAAUUUGCUUACCAGACUUACUCUUUUCUAGGGGCACUAUGCUGUGAUGAAUAACCCCACCAGACAGCCUUUGGCCCUAAAUGUGGC